AUGCACAAUUUACCUUUUUUUUUCUUUCUUUCUUUCACCGCUAUACAUUUUGCAUUUUAUAAGCAGUUUCAAUGGGCAUGUCCUCCUGUCCUGAUGGACAGUUCCAGUGUAUUGAUUCUCAAGUCUGUGUUUCCAUGGAGCAAGUGUGUGAUUUCCACACCAACUGUUCAGAUGGAUCAGAUGAAGCGUUUUGUGGCUCUUGUGACUUUGAGAUGGAAAACAUCAGUACUAUGAGAAAGACACUUUGAGAAAGACACCUGUUCCUUGUCCCAUGACCAGUCAACUGAACUCAAAUGGAAAAAAAGAAGAUGGACAGAACCCUCCCUUUGAUUAUCAGGGACCUACACAUGAUCACACCACUGGUUCUGGUAGAUAUACAUAUAAUAAUUUAUAUACAUAUAUAAACAGGACACUACUAUUCAAAAUGUUUAGGGACUUUGAAAGAAAUCUCUUCUGCUCAUCAAGAAUUGAUUGGAUUGUGUGAAAUGGAUAUUUCAUGAAAGAUGUUUUUCAUGCACCAACAAAUUAUGCAUAAUAACACCAGAAACGUAUUAAAAAAAUAUAUAGGGUCCAUUUUGAUUU
Cyprinus carpio carpio is the source of this 582-nucleotide long non-coding RNA. NCBI's taxonomy places the organism in Eukaryota, Metazoa, Chordata, Actinopteri, Cypriniformes, Cyprinidae. The record is from Ensembl.